UGGGACCCGCCGGCUAGCCAAUGGGGCUCUCGCGUAAGGUUGACGCAGGACACGUAUGGUACGUCCGGCGUCGUCCAACAGGAUUCGUCAUGGGUAGACGGUACGGCCGCCUCCACUGUUCCCACGCCGAGUGCAGUAAUGGAGUGGGAGUUUGACGGCCGACACUGUGCUGGGUGAUGGAUCAGAGCCGGGGGAGGUCAGC
Molecule: long non-coding RNA, 202 nt
Filed under: Hordeum vulgare
Lineage: Eukaryota; Viridiplantae; Streptophyta; Magnoliopsida; Poales; Poaceae
Description: long non-coding RNA (HVUL_LNC020109)
Source: RNAcentral